AUAGGCUAAUUGACAUAAUUUGAGUCAAUUGGAGGUGYACCUGUGGAUGUAUUUCAAGGCCUACCUUCAAACUCAGUGCCUCUUUGCUUGACAUCAUGG
Molecule: non-coding RNA, 99 nt
Organism: Salvelinus sp. IW2-2015
Lineage: Eukaryota; Metazoa; Chordata; Actinopteri; Salmoniformes; Salmonidae
Source: RefSeq, a predicted model, not a curated record